GUUGGCAGCUAGCUCUCUGCAACUCUCACAUGCUCGCCCACUAAAGCUAAGCAGGGCUGCGCAUGGUCAGUACCUGGAUGGGAGGCCACAUGGGAAAACUAGGUUGCUGCCGGAA
Molecule: ribosomal RNA, 115 nt
Filed under: Danio rerio (zebrafish)
Lineage: Eukaryota; Metazoa; Chordata; Actinopteri; Cypriniformes; Danionidae
Source: RNAcentral